This 492-nucleotide ribosomal RNA is filed under the name uncultured bacterium. RNAcentral's name for it is "partial 16S ribosomal RNA". It matches the Rfam family "Bacterial small subunit ribosomal RNA", at positions 30 to 507 of the family's 1533-position model. The record is from RNAcentral.
AUUGAACGCUGGCGGCAUGCUUUACACAUGCAAGUCGAACGGUAACAGGCCUUCGGGUGCUGACGAGUGGCGAACGGGUGCGUAAUGCAUCCGAAUGUGCCCAGAGGCUGGGGAUAACGCAGCGAAAGCUGUGCUAAUACCUCAUGUGAUCUGAGGAUUAAAGCGGGGGACCAAGCAGCAAUGUUUGGCCUCGCGCCUCUGGAGCGGCCGAUGUCAGAUUAGCUAGUUGGUGGGGUAAAGGCCUACCAAGCCGACGAUCUGUAGCUGGUCUGAGAGGACGACCAGCCACACUGGGACUGAGACACGGCCCAGACUCCUACGGGAGGCAGCAGUGGGGAAUCUUGGGCAAUGGGCGCAAGCCUGAUCCAGCAAUGCCGCGUGAGUGAAGAAGGUCUUCGGGUUGUAAACCGCUUUUGUACGGAACGAAAAGGCUCUGGCUAAUACAUGGGGCUGAUGACGGUACCGUAAGAAUAAGCACCGGCUAACUACGUG